Molecule: ribosomal RNA, 418 nt
Filed under: uncultured bacterium
Lineage: Bacteria
Description: bacterial SSU rRNA
Rfam family: Bacterial small subunit ribosomal RNA
Source: RNAcentral
UUGUUCACAAUGGGCGCAAGCCUGAUGACGCAACGCCGCGUGGGGGAUGAAGGUCUUCGGAUUGUAAACUCCUGUCGAACGGGAAGAAAGACCCGGGAGCUAAUCAUCCCGGGAGUGACGGUACCGUUAAAGGAAGCCACGGCUAACUCUGUGCCAGCAGCCGCGGUAAUACAGAGGCCUCGAGCGUUAAUCGGAGUCACUGGGCUUAAAGGGUGCGUAGGCCGCCCCGCAAGUGCUUUGUGAAAUCCCACGGCUCAACCGUGGAAUCGCUUGGCAGACUGCGGGGCUUGAGGUCGGUAGGGGCAGCCGGAACUCUAGGUGGAGCGGUGAAAUGCGUAGAUAUCUAGAGGAACGCCAAAGGUGAAGACAGGCUGCUGGGCCGAUUCUGACGCUGAGGCACGAAAGCGUGGGUAGCGAA